AGCCAGACUCCUACGGGAGGCAGCAGUGGGGAAUAUUGCACAAUGGGGGAAACCCUGAUGCAGCGACGCCGCGUGAGUGAAGAAGUAUUUCGGUAUGUAAAGCUCUAUCAGCAGGGAAGAAAAUGACGGUACCUGACCAAGAAGCCCCGGCUAACUACGUGCCAGCAGCCGCGGUAAUACGUAGGGGGCAAGCGUUAUCCGGAUUUACUGGGUGUAAAGGGAGCGUAGACGGUUGUGCAAGUCAGAAGUGAAAGCCCGGGGCUCAACUCCGGGACUGCUUUUGAAAUUGUGAAACUGGAGUGCAGGAGAGGUAAGCGGAAUUCCUGGUGUAGCGGUGAAAUGCGUAGAUAUCAGGAGGAACACCAGUGGCGAAGGCGGCUUACUGGACUGUAACUGACGUUGAGGCUCGAAAGCGUGGGGAGCAAACAGGAUUAGAUACCCCAGUA
RNAcentral lists this ribosomal RNA (446 nucleotides) under uncultured bacterium. RNAcentral describes it as "bacterial SSU rRNA". It matches the Rfam family "Bacterial small subunit ribosomal RNA", at positions 329 to 792 of the family's 1533-position model. The record is from RNAcentral.